RNAcentral lists this ribosomal RNA (819 nucleotides) under uncultured fungus. RNAcentral's name for it is "eukaryotic LSU rRNA". The stretch from base 269 to 422 matches the Rfam family "5.8S ribosomal RNA". The record is from RNAcentral. Lineage: Eukaryota; Fungi.
GGAAGGAUCAUUACAGAAUAAACUUGAUGGGUUGUAGCUGGCUCUCUUGGGAGCAUGUGCACGCCUGUCACCUUUAUCUUUCCACCUGUGCACCCUUUGUAGACUUGGAAUUUCAAACUAUCUGUGAGGUUUUCAAAAGCCUUCAGUUUGAGGGAUUGCUGUGCCCCCAACGGUCAGCUUCUCUUGUGGUUCCAAGCCUAUGUUUUUCAUACACCCUUAGUAUGUCUUAGAAUGUAUUCAAAGGCCUCAGUGCCUAUAAACUCUAUACAACUUUCAGCAACGGAUCUCUUGGCUCUCGCAUCGAUGAAGAACGCAGCGAAAUGCGAUAAGUAAUGUGAAUUGCAGAAUUCAGUGAAUCAUCGAAUCUUUGAACGCACCUUGCGCUCCUUGGUAUUCCGAGGAGCAUGCCUGUUUGAGUGUCAUUGAAUUCUCAACCUUAUCAUCUUUGAUGGCAAGGCUUGGACUUGGGGGUUUUGCGGGCUUCAACCUUUUUGAAGUCGGCUCCCCUUAAAUGAAUUAGCCGGAAAACCCUUGUGGACCCCGUCUAUUGGUGUGAUAAUUAUCUACGCCGCAGCAUGGGACCGCACUUUGUAAUGGGAUUUCUGCUUCCAACCGUCCUUUAGGGACAAUUAUAUGACUAUUUGACCUCAAAUCAGGUAGGACUACCCGCUGAACUUAAGCAUAUCAAUAAGCGGAGGAAAAGAAACUAACAAGGAUUCCCCUAGUAACUGCGAGUGAAGCGGGAAAAGCUCAAAUUUAAAAUCUGGCGGUCUUUGGCUGUCCGAGUUGUAAUCUAGAGAAGUGUUAUCCGUGCUGGAC